UUUUUUAAUCGAUCUAAUAUUGGAAUGUAACGUAAAUCGUCAGUUUUAGGCGGGAACAUGGCAGGAGACGUAGAAAGAAGCUGCUUAUCGAGAAAUCGUCAAGUAAAGACCAGCGACAUUUCUAACCGGUGAUAUUUGCAACGAUUUCCUCUGGGCCACGAUUGCAAAUGUCGCAUUUAAUUAUAUGUACGUACAAUGAUAUGCAAUAUCAUUUAUAAAGAUCGAGUGUUGUGCAGUUACAUCGCAUAUGCUAAGAAGAAACAGAC
This is a long non-coding RNA of Frieseomelitta varia, 266 nucleotides long. RefSeq lists it as uncharacterized. NCBI's taxonomy places the organism in Eukaryota, Metazoa, Arthropoda, Insecta, Hymenoptera, Apidae. The transcript has 3 exons. The record is from RefSeq and is a predicted model, not a curated record.